GUGGGGAAUAUUGGACAAUGGGCGAAAGCCUGAUCCAGCCAUGCCGCGUGUGUGAAGAAGGUCUUCGGAUUGUAAAGCACUUUAAGUUGGGAGGAAGGGCAGUAAGUUAAUACCUUGCUGUUUUGACGUUACCAACAGAAUAAGCACCGGCUAACUUCGUGCCAGCAGCCGCGGUAAUACGAAGGGUGCAAGCGUUAAUCGGAAUUACUGGGCGUAAAGCGCGCGUAGGUGGUUCAGCAAGUUGAAGGUGAAAUCCCCGGGCUCAACCUGGGAACUGCCUACAAAACUACUGAGCUAGAGUACGGUAGAGGGUAGUGGAAUUUCCUGUGUAGCGGUGAAAUGCGUAGAUAUAGGAAGGAACACCAGUGGCGAAGGCGACUACCUGGACUGAUACUGACACUGAGGUGCGAAAGCGUGGGGAGCAAACAGGAUUAGAAACCCGGGUAGUCC
RNAcentral lists this ribosomal RNA (450 nucleotides) under uncultured bacterium. RNAcentral's name for it is "partial 16S ribosomal RNA". It matches the Rfam family "Bacterial small subunit ribosomal RNA", at positions 354 to 796 of the family's 1533-position model. The record is from RNAcentral.